Molecule: ribosomal RNA, 492 nt
Filed under: uncultured bacterium
Lineage: Bacteria
Description: partial 16S ribosomal RNA
Rfam family: Bacterial small subunit ribosomal RNA
Source: RNAcentral
AGUGAACGCUGGCGGUAGGCCUAACACAUGCAAGUCGAACGGCAGCACAGUAAGAGCUUGCUCUUACGGGUGGCGAGUGGCGGACGGGUGAGGAAUACAUCGGAAUCUACUUUUUCGUGGGGGAUAACGUAGGGAAACUUACGCUAAUACCGCAUACGACCUACGGGUGAAAGCAGGGGAUCUUCGGACCUUGCGCGAUUGAAUGAGCCGAUGUCGGAUUAGCUAGUUGGCGGGGUAAAGGCCCACCAAGGCGACGAUCCGUAGCUGGUCUGAGAGGAUGAACACCCACACUGGAACUGAGACACGGUCCAGACUCCUACGGGAGGCAGCAGUGGGGAAUAUUGGACAAUGGGCGCAAGCCUGAUCCAGCCAUACCGCGUGGGUGAAGAAGGCCUUCGGGUUGUAAAGCCCUUUUGUUGGGAAAGAAAAGCAGCAGGUUAAUACCCCGCUGUUCUGACGGUACCCAAAGAAUAAGCACCGGCUAACUUCGUG